This is a small nuclear RNA of Choloepus hoffmanni (Hoffmann's two-fingered sloth), 107 nucleotides long. Lineage: Eukaryota; Metazoa; Chordata; Mammalia; Pilosa; Megalonychidae. The record is from Ensembl.
GUGCUCACUUCGGCAGCACAUAUACUAAAAUUGCAACGAUACAGAGAAGAUUAGUACAGCCCCUGCGCAAGGAUGACACACAAAUUUGUGAAGUGUUCCAUAUUUUU